This 1343-nucleotide ribosomal RNA is filed under the name uncultured bacterium. RNAcentral describes it as "16S ribosomal RNA". It matches the Rfam family "Bacterial small subunit ribosomal RNA", at positions 28 to 1378 of the family's 1533-position model. The record is from RNAcentral.
GACGAACGCUGGCGGCGUGCUUAACACAUGCAAGUCGAACGGAAAGGCCCUGCUUUUGUGGGGUGCUCGAGUGGCGAACGGGUGAGUAACACGUGAGUAACCUGCCCUUGACUUUGGGAUAACUUCAGGAAACUGGGGCUAAUACCGGAUAGGAGCUCCUGCUGCAUGGUGGGGGUUGGAAAGUUUCGGCGGUUGGGGAUGGACUCGCGGCUUAUCAGCUUGUUGGUGGGGUAGUGGCUUACCAAGGCUUUGACGGGUAGCCGGCCUGAGAGGGUGACCGGCCACAUUGGGACUGAGAUACGGCCCAGACUCCUACGGGAGGCAGCAGUGGGGAAUAUUGCACAAUGGGCGGAAGCCUGAUGCAGCGACGCCGCGUGCGGGAUGACGGCCUUCGGGUUGUAAACCGCUUUCGCCUGUGACGAAGCGUGAGUGACGGUAAUGGGUAAAGAAGCACCGGCUAACUACGUGCCAGCAGCCGCGGUGAUACGUAGGGUGCGAGCGUUGUCCGGAUUUAUUGGGCGUAAAGGGCUCGUAGGUGGUUGAUCGCGUCGGAAGUGUAAUCUUGGGGCUUAACCCUGAGCGUGCUUUCGAUACGGGUUGACUUGAGGAAGGUAGGGGAGAAUGGAAUUCCUGGUGGAGCGGUGGAAUGCGCAGAUAUCAGGAGGAACACCAGUGGCGAAGGCGGUUCUCUGGGCCUUUCCUGACGCUGAGGAGCGAAAGCGUGGGGAGCGAACAGGCUUAGAUACCCUGGUAGUCCACGCUGUAAACGGUGGGUACUAGGUGUGGGGUCCAUUCCACGGGUUCCGUGCCGUAGCUAACGCUUUAAGUACCCCGCCUGGGGAGUACGGCCGCAAGGCUAAAACUCAAAGGAAUUGACGGGGCCCCGCACAAGCGGCGGAGCAUGCGGAUUAAUUCGAUGCAACGCGUAGAACCUUACCUGGGUUUGACAUGGAUCGGGAGUGCUCAGAGAUGGGUGUGCCUCUUUUGGGGUCGGUUCACAGGUGGUGCAUGGCUGUCGUCAGCUCGUGUCGUGAGAUGUUGGGUUAAGUCCCGCAACGAGCGCAACCCUUGUUCACUGUUGCCAGCACGUUAUGGUGGGGACUCAGUGGAGACCGCCGGGGUCAACUCGGAGGAAGGUGGGGAUGACGUCAAGUCAUCAUGCCCCUUAUGUCCAGGGCUUCACGCAUGCUACAAUGGCUGGUACAGAGAGUGGCGAGCCUGUGAGGGUGAGCGAAUCUCGGAAAGCCGGUCUCAGUUCGGAUUGGGGUCUGCAACUCGACCUCAUGAAGUCGGAGUCGCUAGUAAUCGCAGAUCAGCAACGCUGCGGUGAAUACGUUCCCGGG